This 468-nucleotide ribosomal RNA is filed under the name uncultured bacterium. RNAcentral's name for it is "partial 16S ribosomal RNA". It matches the Rfam family "Bacterial small subunit ribosomal RNA", at positions 28 to 507 of the family's 1533-position model. The record is from RNAcentral.
GACGAACGCUGGCGGCGUGCUUAACACAUGCAAGUCGAACGGAAAGGCCCUGCUUUUGUGGGGUGCUCGAGUGGCGAACGGGUGAGUAACACGUGAGUAACCUGCCCUUGACUUUGGGAUAACUUCAGGAAACUGGGGCUAAUACCGGAUAGGAGCUCCUGCUGCAUGGUGGGGGUUGGAAAGUUUCGGCGGUUGGGGAUGGACUCGCGGCUUAUCAGCUUGUUGGUGGGGUAGUGGCUUACCAAGGCUUUGACGGGUAGCCGGCCUGAGAGGGUGACCGGCCACAUUGGGACUGAGAUACGGCCCAGACUCCUACUGGAGGCAGCAGUGGGGAAUAUUGCACAAUGGGCGGAAGCCUGAUGCAGCAACGCCGCGUGCGGGGUGACGGCCUUCGGGUUGUAAACCGCUUUCGCCUGUGACGAAGCGUGAGUGACGGUAAUGGGUAAAGAAGCACCGGCUAACUACGUG